RNAcentral lists this ribosomal RNA (468 nucleotides) under uncultured bacterium. RNAcentral describes it as "partial 16S ribosomal RNA". It matches the Rfam family "Bacterial small subunit ribosomal RNA", at positions 28 to 507 of the family's 1533-position model. The record is from RNAcentral.
GAUGAACGCUGGCGGCGUGCUUAACACAUGCAAGUCGAACGGAAAGGCCGAAGCUUGCUUCGGUACUCGAGUGGCGAACGGGUGAGUAACACGUGGGUGAUCUGCCCUGUACUUCGGGAUAGGCUUGGGAAACUGGGUCUAAUACCGGAUAUGACGAUCUCUUGGAUGGGGUUGUGGAAAGCUUUUGCGGUAUGGGAUGAGCUCGCGGCCUAUCAGCUUGUUGGUGGGGUAAUGGCCUACCAAGGCGUCGACGGGUAGCCGGCCUGAGAGGGUGUACGGCCACAUUGGGACGGAGAUACGGCCCAGACUCCUACGGGAGGCAGCAAUGGGGAAUAUUGCACAAUGGGCGCAAGCCUGAUGCAGCGACGCCGCGUGGGGGAUGACGGCCUUCGGGUUGUAAACUCCUUUCGCAAUCGACGAAGCCUUUUGGUGACGGUAGGUUGAGAAGAAGCACCGGCUAACUACGUG